RNAcentral lists this ribosomal RNA (282 nucleotides) under uncultured bacterium. RNAcentral's name for it is "partial 16S ribosomal RNA". It matches the Rfam family "Bacterial small subunit ribosomal RNA", at positions 69 to 354 of the family's 1533-position model. The record is from RNAcentral.
CUUGCCUGCACCUGCCGGCGACCGGCGCACGGGUGAGUAACACGUAUGGAACCUGCCCGCCACAGGGGGAUAACCCGGGGAAACCCGGCCUAAUACCCCAUGCCGCCCGGACCGGGCAUCCGGUCCGGGCGAAAGGAGGAAUCCGGUGGCGGCUGGGCAUGCGGCGCAUUAGCUUGACGGCGGGGUAACGGCCCACCGUGGCGACGAUGCGUAGGGGUUCUGAGAGGAAGGCCCCCCGCACUGGAACUGAGACACGGUCCAGACUCCUACGGAAGGCAGCAG